CACACACCUGCAGCAGAGCGAGAGGCUGCGCCGUGGCGGUGGAAUACGCCACUGAAACACAAAUGGUCUAAGCAGACAGGACUCAAUGGCUCUCCAACAGACUGCCACUGUGGGCUGGACACUGACGUGGACACUGUGACGUAUGCAGACCAGACAUAUCUAGUGGUGGAGAUGAAUCAUUUGGACAGCUCUGACACCAACAAGCCCUCUGCCCUCAGUUCCUGACGCUCCCACGUAUCUCCUGACCUCUGCUCUCCACUCGUCUCCCUCCACUGCACACUGGACAGUUUGGUGUCAGCAGCGUGGAGACACCAGAGCUGGGCAGGGACACCAGGACCCAUGGCCCAGAGCCAGCUGGAGCCGCUGCCAGCUUGUGUUGACAAUGAGUUCCACACAGUCGGGACACUGUGG
This is a long non-coding RNA of Micropterus dolomieu (smallmouth bass), 411 nucleotides long. RefSeq lists it as uncharacterized. The transcript is spliced from 4 exons. The record is from RefSeq and is a predicted model, not a curated record. NCBI's taxonomy places the organism in Eukaryota, Metazoa, Chordata, Actinopteri, Centrarchiformes, Centrarchidae.